UUCCGGUUGAUCCUGCCGGAGGCGACCGCUUUGGGAGUUCGAUUAAGCCAUGCGAGUCGUGAGUCUUAGGGACUCGGCAUACUGCUCAGUAACACGUGGAUAACCUGCCCUAUCGUCUGGAAUAACCUCGGGAAACUGAGAAUAAGGCCGGAUAGUUCACAAUGCCUGGAACGGUUUGUGAAUCAAGGUAGGAUGGGUCUGCGGCGUAUCAGGUUGUAGGGGGUGUAAAGGACCCCCUAGCCUUCGACGCGUACGGGUGUUGGGAGACAUAGCCCGGAGAUGGAUUCUGAGACACGAAUCCAGACCCUACGGGGUGCAGCAGGCGCGAAAACUUCACACUGCAGGAAACUGUGAUGAGGGAACUCCUAGUGCAUGCACUAUGUGUAUGUAGAUCCUACUCUUAACAAGUAGAGGGAAAGGGCUGGGAAAGACCGGUGCCAGCCGCCGCGGUAAUACCGGCAGCUCAAGUGGUCGUCGCUUUUAUUGGGCCUAAAACGACCGUAGCCUGUUUGGUAAAUCUGUGGGUAAAUCAAUCCGCUCAACGGAUUGAAUUCUGCAGAGGCUGCCAGACUAGGGACCGGGAGAGGUGUGGGGUACUCGAGGGGUAGGGGUAAAAUCCUGUCAUCCUUCGAGGACCACCAGCUGCGAAGGCGCCACACUGGAACGGAUCCGACGGUCAGGGACGAAGCCUAGGGGCACGAACCGGAUUAGAUACCCGGGUAGUCCUAGGUGUAAACGCUGUGAACUUGGUGUCGGGGGUCCGCAAGGGGUCCCCGGUGCCGGAGUGAAGAUGUUAAGUUCACUGCCUGGGGAGUACGGUCGCAAGGCUGAAACUUAAAGGAAUUGGCGGGGCAGCAC
This 858-nucleotide ribosomal RNA is filed under the name uncultured euryarchaeote. RNAcentral describes it as "bacterial SSU rRNA". It matches the Rfam family "Archaeal small subunit ribosomal RNA", at positions 1 to 879 of the family's 1478-position model. The record is from RNAcentral. Lineage: Archaea; Methanobacteriati; Methanobacteriota.